This 253-nucleotide ribosomal RNA is filed under the name uncultured bacterium. RNAcentral describes it as "partial 16S ribosomal RNA". It matches the Rfam family "Bacterial small subunit ribosomal RNA", at positions 524 to 776 of the family's 1533-position model. The record is from RNAcentral.
GACGAACCGUGCGAACGUUGUUCGGAAUCACUGGGCUUAAAGGGCGCGUAGGCGGACUGCCGCGUCCGGGGUGAAAUCCCACGGCUCAACCGUGGAACGGCCCCGGGUACGGGCGGCCUCGAGGGGGGUAGGGGCGUGCGGAACUGUGGGUGGAGCGGUGAAAUGCGUUGAUAUCCACAGGAACUCCGGUGGCGAAGGCGGCACGCUGGACCCCUUCUGACGCUGAGGCGCGAAAGCCAGGGGAGCGAACGGG